UUAAGAGAUACGUGAAAAAAUAUCAUCCAGGUCCUGACUUAACACAGAUGUUACUUUGUCCAGUUACCAAGUCCAAACGAGAGCGUGCAAGCACAAGGACGCAGCACCAACGAGCCAGGGACCCAGCCGCACCCGGAAGCCAAGAGCCAGGAAAACCGCUGCGCGCGGGACCACGAGGCGACCGUUGCCAAGACGGCCACAGGCCAGGCGGGCCCGGGACACACACCGAGCAGUGCCUGGAGGUCAGCUCCUCCCCGCCCCGGCGCCCACCGACGGGCCCGACCUCGCUGACCUAACCCCAGGCCAGAAGCUUCCUGGCCCUCGCUGCAGCUGCUGCCCUGUGCGGGCCCAAGAAGUCCCUGGGCCCGGGCUUUAGCCCUGCCUUCUCCAGGCUUCCCUGUUUGUCGACUGUGGUGGAGCCGGGACCCCGGCAUCGCCGCCCCUUCCCCUUCCCGGGAUGGCACUGUGCGCUCCGCCCAGCCCCAGGUGCUGCUGCAAGGGUGGCCCCAAACGUUUACUAUAGAGAGGUGAGACCCGGAGACGAUGGUGUGACAACAGACGGAGAUGGAAGUGAUGCCACCACAAGCCACAAGCCCGGAGAUGCGAGGAAAGCAUCGACCCUUGGAGCUUGAGAGGCAGUGCGCCCCGCUGAGACCUCGAUUUCAGACUUCUGGCCUCCUGAACCCUAGGACCGCACUGCAAGUUAACCAGUCCUUGUUCUAUCUGCUGGGGCAAAUACGCCCCACCCACUAAUUUACAAAAACCAAGAGCAAACCAACCUGGUGAAACGCAGCAUCCCGUAACAGAGCACUUCCGAGCUUGCUUUCCUUACCCCAGGUGGACACCUUUGCCUUCCAGAAUCCUUGAAGGGAACGUUUCACAGCGUGGAGGAGUUUCUGCGCUCUGAACUGUGGACUGAUGGCCUUGGUCUCCAUUUCCUGAAGCACUUUGUUUUGUGUUGUGCCAGUCACGAAAUCUCCAAAGAGAGCAAGCUGUUACGUGUAGCAGGGGUCAGGUCAGAGAUUUUACUUCAGGCAUCAGUCGUCAGCAGCCCGCCCCCUCCUCGUGUUGAGGUUUUCAAGCAUUUCUUUCUGUUCCUUUAGCUCUGGCGCUUCUAGCAUUCAGCUGCUUCUUGGGCAAGCAGCCUUACUUUCCUGAAGGUGAAUGUUGUCAUCGAAACCAUUAGUUAUUCCCCUCUGAUGUUGUUCUCCAUGUUACUGUGAUGCCUCUAGGACAGUUUUGGCCCCGCUCCCAUGGGACUGAAGGGAUUUUGAUGUCUCAGCCAGUGGCUAUACCUCUGGCCUUCAGGAAGUGGCAUCCUUUCCAUUAAAUAUGGAACCUUUCUGUUUUCACUCAAGGAGCUCUGCUGUAUUUCCACUCGUUUGCCUCUUUAUUAAGUGUUCUGUAGACAGGGUUCAUGAACGUUGGGGAACUGGCCUCCAUCCACUGCAGGUGGCCCCACAGCUUCUAAGACUUCUGUAAUCAGUCUCAUCUUCAUAUACUGGCUUCUUCAUAUACUUCAGCUUGGGGAUAGAGGUCAUGGCCAGUUCCUUUUCCCAUAAAGUAAGUCCUCCUUGCCCUAUAAAAACAAACACAGCAGUCUCCUAGGGAGGCUCAAAAACACAUUAGAAGUUUGUCCACGAUUCAGACUCCACUGUUAGAGCAUUACACAGCUGCUCCAGGUGGCUGUGAAGUCUGUGACUCCGUGACUCCAGAGAGCUGUGCGGCUCUGCUUCUGCCAGGAUCCUGUUGGCUGCAGCGGCCUGCCUGGAAGCUUCUAACCCAUACAAGUGUCUGACUCUAGGACGGCCCAUCAGUGGGCCUGGGAAGAGAAGCCAGGGUUUUCUAAAUUCAUGCUUACUGACCCUGCUUCUGUUACUGCGCAGUUUCUAAUUGUAUAGCACAUUCUAGGAAAUGUAAAAGACGUAAGACAGCCAGAGUUUACAGUCAUGAAGAGUGUCCACUGGAGGCACACGUGGCUUCUCAGGAACCCUAGGAGACUGAAGCCGUGCAUGCUUCUCUUCACGUAUGUUUUUAGGCUGCAGUCAUGGGGGAGGCUGCAGUGGAGGACACCCUUGUCCGCGAUCCUGAGCAAGGCUGUCUUCCACGCCUGAAACUGUCCUGCACAUGAGAAUUCCCAGCCUUUCUUCAAAGGCUACGUAAAUCUCUCUCCUUGGAAAGAUAGUCUCUCCUUUGUGAUCCCUCAGAACAGGAGAGUCGGCUCCCACAAAGGCUGGCCUGUUUGUGCAUGCGACCCUCACUAAGAAGCAAGGCUAUUACUACUUUAGAUCAGAAUGAAAUGCUGGGUGUCAGUGAGUACGGAGGAAGCACAGUGUAGUUUUUAGCCAGUCUUUCUUAAAGGCAGUAUUGCCCAUUAUAUGAGGUAUCCUAAACAAAACUGGUUAUAUUAACUACUAAUAAAAUCACUUGAAUAUGUUUGCUUUUGAAAUUUAUUUUCAAGAUGUAAUGCAUUUUUUUCUUUUUGCAAACUGUUGCAUGAAUAUUUUCUGGAAGGUAACUUUAUGUCCUUUUUAAAAUGUUACGUGACAGAAUAAAACAAGGAUUUCUAGAUUGUCA
This is a non-coding RNA of Oryctolagus cuniculus (rabbit), 2577 nucleotides long. Lineage: Eukaryota; Metazoa; Chordata; Mammalia; Lagomorpha; Leporidae. The record is from RefSeq and is a predicted model, not a curated record.